GAGGGUAUAGCUCAAGUGGUAGAGCACCUGCUUAGCAUGCACAAGGUCCUGGGUUCAAUCUCCAGUACCUCCG
This 73-nucleotide transfer RNA is filed under the name Camelus bactrianus (Bactrian camel). It matches the Rfam family "tRNA". Rfam says of the family: Transfer RNA (tRNA) molecules are approximately 80 nucleotides in length. Their secondary structure includes four short double-helical elements and three loops (D, anti-codon, and T loops). Lineage: Eukaryota; Metazoa; Chordata; Mammalia; Artiodactyla; Camelidae. The record is from Rfam by way of RNAcentral. RNAcentral also lists the same sequence under 3 other names.